This 520-nucleotide ribosomal RNA is filed under the name uncultured Actinomycetes bacterium. RNAcentral's name for it is "bacterial SSU rRNA". It matches the Rfam family "Bacterial small subunit ribosomal RNA", at positions 366 to 896 of the family's 1533-position model. Lineage: Bacteria; Bacillati; Actinomycetota; Actinomycetes. The record is from RNAcentral.
GGACAAUGGGCGGAAGCCUGAUCCAGCAACGCCGCGUGAGGGAUGACGGCCUUCGGGUUGUAAACCUCUUUCGCCUGUGACGAAGCGCAAGUGACGGUAACAGGUAAAGAAGCACCGGCCAACUACGUGCCAGCAGCCGCGGUAAUACGUAGGGUGCGAGCGUUGUCCGGAAUUAUUGGGCGUAAAGGGCUCGUAGGCGGUUUGUCGCGUCGGGAGUGAAAACCAGGUGCUUAACACCUGGCUUGCUUUCGAUACGGGCAGACUAGAGGUAUUCAGGGGAGAACGGAAUUCCUGGUGUAGCGGUGAAAUGCGCAGAUAUCAGGAGGAACACCGGUGGCGAAGGCGGUUCUCUGGGAAUGACCUGACGCUGAGGAGCGAAAGUGUGGGGAGCGAACAGGAUUAGAUACCCUGGUAGUCCACACCGUAAACGUUGGGCGCUAGGUGUGGGGUCCGUUCCACGGAUUCCGUGCCGCAGCUAACGCAUUAAGCGCCCCGCCUGGGGAGUACGGCCGCAAGGCUA